AGCGAACGCUGGCGGCAGGCCUAACACAUGCAAGUCGAACGAACCUUUCGGGGUUAGUGGCGGACGGGUGAGUAACACGUGGGAACGUGCCUUUAGGUUCGGAAUAACUCAGGGAAACUUGUGCUAAUACCGAAUGUGCCCUUCGGGGGAAAGAUUAAUCGCCUUUAGAGCGGCCCGCGUCUGAUUAGCUAGUUGGUUGAGGUAAUGGCCCACCAAGGCGACGAUCAGUAGCUGGUCUGAGAGGAUGAUCAGCCACAUUGGGACUGAGACACGGCCCAAACUCCUACGGGAGGCAGCAGUGGGGAAUCUUGCGCAAUGGGCGAAAGCCUGACGCAGCCAUGCCGCGUGAAUGAUGAAGGUCUUAGGAUUGUAAAAUUCUUUCACCGGGGACGAUAAUGACGGUACCCGGAGAAGAAGCCCCGGCUAACUUCGU
RNAcentral lists this ribosomal RNA (433 nucleotides) under uncultured bacterium. Its description in RNAcentral is "partial 16S ribosomal RNA". It matches the Rfam family "Bacterial small subunit ribosomal RNA", at positions 29 to 506 of the family's 1533-position model. The record is from RNAcentral.